GUUCAUGCCUUGGCCGUGGAACGGCGUGAUCGCGUGUGCGGCAUCGCCGAUGAGCAGCACGUCUUCCGCCACGUUCCACCGUGCGCACCGCACCGUACCCAUGAUGCCCGCC
This 112-nucleotide unclassified non-coding RNA is filed under the name uncultured fungus. RNAcentral's name for it is "sequence contains ITS1". Lineage: Eukaryota; Fungi. The record is from RNAcentral.